Molecule: transfer RNA, 76 nt
Filed under: Gammaproteobacteria bacterium
Lineage: Bacteria; Pseudomonadati; Pseudomonadota; Gammaproteobacteria
Also listed under: 3 other names
Description: tRNA-Thr
Rfam family: tRNA
About the family: Transfer RNA (tRNA) molecules are approximately 80 nucleotides in length. Their secondary structure includes four short double-helical elements and three loops (D, anti-codon, and T loops).
Source: RNAcentral
GCCGGCUUAGCUCAGCUGGUAGAGCAGGGGUUUUGUAAACCUCAGGUCGGCGGUUCGAUUCCGUCAGCCGGCACCA